GCAGAAGAGACUCUGCAGUGUUGUACAGA
This 29-nucleotide non-coding RNA is filed under the name Rattus norvegicus (Norway rat). Lineage: Eukaryota; Metazoa; Chordata; Mammalia; Rodentia; Muridae. The record is from RNAcentral.